RNAcentral lists this ribosomal RNA (180 nucleotides) under uncultured bacterium. Its description in RNAcentral is "partial 16S ribosomal RNA". It matches the Rfam family "Bacterial small subunit ribosomal RNA", at positions 1322 to 1500 of the family's 1533-position model. The record is from RNAcentral.
GAAGCUGGAAUCGCUAGUAAUCGCGGAUCAGAAUGCCGCGGUGAAUACGUUCCCGGGUCUUGUACACACCGCCCGUCCACACCAUGGGAGCCGGAAACGCCCGAAGCCAGCGGCCCAACCGCGAGGAGGGAGCUGUCGAAGGCGGGUCCGGUGACCGGGGUGAAGUCGUAACAAGGUACC